Molecule: long non-coding RNA, 981 nt
Organism: Aedes aegypti (yellow fever mosquito)
Lineage: Eukaryota; Metazoa; Arthropoda; Insecta; Diptera; Culicidae
Exons: 2
Source: RefSeq, a predicted model, not a curated record
ACUUACUUGAUACUUGAUGGGCAACAAUUCACAACGAUAAAUCUACGCCGAAUGGAUUAUCCUUCUCCACUGGUCAGUAAUUGCCUGACUUCAAGCUACACUUGUCUUUAUGUAACAUGUUCCAGGCUCCUCAGAACAAGCUUAUCUUGUUAGUUAUUCGAGCACACAACAAAAGACUCAAACACAUAAACAUGAUACGUAUCCUAAUCCGAUAAGUACUUCUUGGAGGAGUGUUAAUUCUAAGGACGUUGUUUGUGUUGUGUUGAUUCCAGACAUCAAAACAACUUCAAAGUUUUGCACGAGAACAACAAUUCCGGAUCCUUAUGAAAGAUUUGCAUGACCUUAUAAUCUUCACAUAAAUCAUUUAAAGGCAUUUAAAUAACAAUUAAUUGCAUAGUUUUAUUCAAACGUAAACAACAUUUCAGUAACUCCACAGAAAAUAUAGUCCAACUCACCAACAACUCGAUCAGUCACGAAAGAAGAAAAAAAAAUCUCCACGCCCUCUAAAUAAGAGAAUGAUACGGGUCCCAAUAAACUGUAGCUACUGUCCUGAUAACAUUUAGAAGAAAAUGAUCAAAUUUGAAGCUCGGUUAACGCGUCCUGAAGCAAUGAUGUUGAAAUGCUGUCUCGCUUUGGGGUUUAGUGUCUACGACGGCGGUGAUGGUAAUGAUGGAGAGACAGCAUCAGUAUAAAUUUAAUUUAAUCAAAUUGGGUUGGAACAGCAGUAUAUACGAUGGAAUGCCGGCGGACAGCACGAGGCGGCAAAUUAUCCGUUGCCAUCAUUAUGCUGAAAUGAAUGGGGCAAUUAUUUUUUUUUUCUCUUCGGCUCCGUCGCUUUGCCGCAAGCUAUGGAGGAUGCCGUUGAUAUCAAAAAUACAGGAAACAGCUUUUUUCUACGGGACGAUUGAUUCCUAUCUAGUAGCGGCAACUUUAUAUUGAACAAACUCGAAGUUCAUUUAAAAUCACAUGAAAAAAAAAAAA